RNAcentral lists this ribosomal RNA (301 nucleotides) under uncultured bacterium. RNAcentral describes it as "partial 16S ribosomal RNA". It matches the Rfam family "Bacterial small subunit ribosomal RNA", at positions 509 to 807 of the family's 1533-position model. The record is from RNAcentral.
CAGUAGCCGCGGUAAUACAGAGGGUGCGAGCGUUAAUCGGAUUUACUGGGCGUAAAGCGUGCGUAGGCGGCUUUUUAAGUCGGAUGUGAAAUCCCUGAGCUUAACUUAGGAAUUGCAUUCGAUACUGGGAAGCUAGAGUAUGGGAGAGGAUGGUAGAAUUCCAGGUGUAGCGGUGAAAUGCGUAGAGAUCUGGAGGAAUACCGAUGGCGAAGGAAGCCAUCUGGCCUAAUACUGACGCUGAGGUACGAAAGCAUGGGGAGCAAACAGGAUUAGAUACCCCCGUAGUCCCUGUCUCUUAUAC